RNAcentral lists this transfer RNA (73 nucleotides) under Felis catus (domestic cat). It matches the Rfam family "tRNA". From Rfam's summary of the family: Transfer RNA (tRNA) molecules are approximately 80 nucleotides in length. Their secondary structure includes four short double-helical elements and three loops (D, anti-codon, and T loops). Further hydrogen bonds mediate the characteristic L-shaped molecular structure. tRNAs have two regions of fundamental functional importance: the anti-codon, which is responsible for specific mRNA codon recognition, and the 3' end, to which the tRNAs corresponding amino acid is attached (by aminoacyl-tRNA synthetases). tRNAs cope with the degeneracy of the genetic code in two manners: having more than one tRNA (with a specific anti-codon) for a particular amino acid; and 'wobble' base-pairing, i.e. permitting non-standard base-pairing at the 3rd anti-codon position. RNAcentral also lists the same sequence under 2 other names. Lineage: Eukaryota; Metazoa; Chordata; Mammalia; Carnivora; Felidae. The record is from Rfam by way of RNAcentral.
GCCUGGCUGGCUCAGUUGGUAGAGCAUGUGACUCUUGAUCUCAGGGUUGUGAGUUUACACCCCACAUUGGGUG